CAGGCUUAACACAUGCAAGUCGAGGGGCAUCAGGAAGAAAGCUUGCUUUCUUUGCUGGCGACCGGCGCACGGGUGAGUAACACGUAUCCAACCUGCCCUUUACUCGGGGAUAGCCUUUCGAAAGAAAGAUUAAUACCCGAUAGCAUAAUGAUUCCGCAUGGUUUCAUUAUUAAAGGAUUCCGGUAAAGGAUGGGGAUGCGUUCCAUUAGGUUGUUGGUGAGGUAACGGCUCACCAAGCCUUCGAUGGAUAGGGGUUCUGAGAGGAAGGUCCCCCACAUUGGAACUGAGACACGGUCCAAACUCCUACGGGAGGCAGCAGUGAGGAAUAUUGGUCAAUGGGCGCUAGCCUGAACCAGCCAAGUAGCGUGAAGGAUGAAGGCUCUAUGGGUCGUAAACUUCUUUUAUAUAAGAAUAAAGUGCAGUAUGUAUACUGUUUUGUAUGUAUUAUAUGAAUAAGGAUCGGCUAACUCCGUGCCAGCAGCCGCGGUAAUACGGAGGAUCCGAGCGUUAUCCGGAUUUAUUGGGUUUAAAGGGAGCGUAGGUGGACUGGUAAGUCAGUUGUGAAAGUUUGCGGCUCAACCGUAAAAUUGCAGUUGAUACUGUCAGUCUUGAGUACAGUAGAGGUGGGCGGAAUUCGUGGUGUAGCGGUGAAAUGCUUAGAUAUCACGAAGAACUCCGAUUGCGAAGGCAGCUCACUGGACUGCAACUGACACUGAUGCUCGAAAGUGUGGGUAUCAAACAGGAUUAGAUACCCUGGUAGUCCACACAGUAAACGAUGAAUACUCGCUGUUUGCGAUAUACAGUAAGCGGCCAAGCGAAAGCAUUAAGUAUUCCACCUGGGGAGUACGCCGGCAACGGUGAAACUCAAAGGAAUUGACGGGGGCCCGCACAAGCGGAGGAACAUGUGGUUUAAUUCGAUGAUACGCGAGGAACCUUACCCGGGCUUAAAUUGCAGUGGAAUGAUGUGGAAACAUGUCAGUGAGCAAUCACCGCUGUGAAGGUGCUGCAUGGUUGUCGUCAGCUCGUGCCGUGAGGUGUCGGCUUAAGUGCCAUAACGAGCGCAACCCUUAUCUUCAGUUACUAACAGGUCAUGCUGAGGACUCUGGAGAGACUGCCGUCGUAAGAUGUGAGGAAGGUGGGGAUGACGUCAAAUCAGCACGGCCCUUACGUCCGGGGCUACACACGUGUUACAAUGGGGGGUACAGAAGGCAGCUAGCGGGUGACCGUAUGCUAAUCCCAAAAUCCUCUCUCAGUUCGGAUCGAAGUCUGCAACCCGACUUCGUGAAGCUGGAUUCGCUAGUAAUCGCGCAUCAGCCACGGCGCGGUGAAUACGUUCCCGGGCCUUGUACACACCGCCCGUCAAGCCAUGGGAGCCGGGGGUACCUGAAGUACGUAACCGCAAGGAUCGUCCUAGGGUAAAACUGGUGACUGGGGC
Molecule: ribosomal RNA, 1435 nt
Filed under: uncultured organism
Description: 16S ribosomal RNA
Rfam family: Bacterial small subunit ribosomal RNA
Source: RNAcentral